This 73-nucleotide transfer RNA is filed under the name Mesocricetus auratus (golden hamster). It matches the Rfam family "tRNA". Rfam says of the family: Transfer RNA (tRNA) molecules are approximately 80 nucleotides in length. Their secondary structure includes four short double-helical elements and three loops (D, anti-codon, and T loops). The record is from Rfam by way of RNAcentral. Lineage: Eukaryota; Metazoa; Chordata; Mammalia; Rodentia; Cricetidae.
AGCCAUGUAGCUCAGUUGGUAGAGAGCUUGCUUAGCAUGUACAAAACCCUGGGUUAGAGUCCCAGCAUCGCAA